CUGAGAGUGGCUUUCCAACCAUUCCUUCUGGUCCCGCCCCCCCUUUAGAAUGAUUCCCAUUUGGGAAUUCCUCUCCAGCUAUCACACUGCCCCUGCAACAAAAUGAUCAACAAGUGCUUACGAAAUUGGAACUGAAGAUUAAGUAAUACUGGAGCAGGUGAAUCAACCAUACUACACACUCUUUCGGCGGCCUUCAUAUUUGGAUGUGGACAUUGAAGGAUUGCUGACCAAUGCCAGAGUCACAGGAAUUGCCUGCUGUGCUUUUGAUCUUCCCAUAUGACUGAAUUUCCUGAAUCAUCGUGUUGCUGUGUGUGCACACAUGUGCACACGUGAAUCUUCUGGCACAUCUCCCAGAAGUGCGAGCGCUGGGACAAAGGAUCCAUUGGUGCUUGCAGAAUGUCAUAUUGAUCGCUUUGGCCUCCUUGGCGCAGAGCCAGACCCUCCAUCUCUCACUUCACAAUGUGGCUGCCAAGUCCACGGGCUUGUCUCCUUGUGACAGCCCUUGGUGCUGCCUCCUGAAGAGCAGAGUGAUUUUUCAGAAACCUUAAAAACAGAACUUCACAUUCU
Long non-coding RNA from Urocitellus parryii (Arctic ground squirrel), 567 nucleotides. RefSeq lists it as uncharacterized. NCBI's taxonomy places the organism in Eukaryota, Metazoa, Chordata, Mammalia, Rodentia, Sciuridae. The record is from RefSeq and is a predicted model, not a curated record.